Molecule: transfer RNA, 66 nt
Filed under: Japanagallia curvipenis
Lineage: Eukaryota; Metazoa; Arthropoda; Insecta; Hemiptera; Cicadellidae
Description: tRNA-Ser
Rfam family: tRNA
About the family: Transfer RNA (tRNA) molecules are approximately 80 nucleotides in length. Their secondary structure includes four short double-helical elements and three loops (D, anti-codon, and T loops).
Source: RNAcentral
AGUCAUUUAGCUUAUAUUAAAGCAUAUAUUUUGAAAAUAUAAGAAAGACAUACAAUUUAAUGACUU